CCAAGUGGAGCGGCUGAGGGCUGAGGCGUGUAGAGGAGGACGAGCUGGUUCUUUUGGGACCGGUGCCGACGGAAUUGAUGGCCAGACAUGGUGGUGGCGAAGAAAGAAAAAAUCAGCUAGGGGGGUGUGGUCGCGCGACAGGAGGGAGAGAGAGAGAGAGAAAGAAACUGAGGUUUAUAAAAAUUCUGAUUUUCCAAUUUACUGUUUUGCCCCUCAUGAUAUUUUAAUCGUCUUUUCUUCGUUAAAACUCCGAUUCGAGCUCACUUCGUGUCUACGAACUCGUUUCGUCGUGCUCUACGCAACGGUGUAUGUGGAAUUGUCAAAUUUUUUUUCGGUCAAAAAGUCAACUUUGAGUUCAUAAUUUAGUCCAAGGGCAAAAUUGUCUUUCCGCAUAAUAAAUUACUAAUUAAAUAUGAAUUUUAGGUUUGGGUCAUUACAAUUCUUAUUCACUGUUUUUUUUUCUUUCUUUUUUAGAUUGAUCUCAAUUAGGCUUUUGAAUUGAAUAUUAAGAACUAAUCUCUCUUUUGUAGGAUUCAUCUUAUACUUUCACUUUUGAGUUGAAUGGACCUUAAGAGAUGAUGUUAGGCUAUGCAUGUUCUACACACUAAAUAAACUUAUGUCCAACCCUUAUGUGUG
Molecule: long non-coding RNA, 636 nt
Filed under: Prunus persica (peach)
Lineage: Eukaryota; Viridiplantae; Streptophyta; Magnoliopsida; Rosales; Rosaceae
Description: long non-coding RNA (PPER_LNC006432)
Source: RNAcentral